GCGAUGUGGCUGGAGGGUGGGGGAGAUUGUGGGAGGUGAAGCUGGUGAGACGGUCGGGGGCUGUUAGGUAUUUUGGGCUUUAGACUAAUGAGAGGCCACUGAAGGGGUUAAAAGACCACUGUGGCUACUGGGUAAAAAGUACUUUGAAAAGUCAGUAAUAGAUUAAUUUAUUGUAGGAGUCUAGGUGAAAAUUGAUGGUAGCUUGGACUAGAGUUAUGGGGAAGCAGGUAGAGAGAAGUUGAUGAAUCCCAAACGUAUUCUGGAGGUAGAAUCAUCGAUAUUUGUAAAUGAACUAGAUGUUGAAGAUGAGAAAGAGUGGGGGGUGUGUCCAGAAUGACUCCCAGGUUUCUGAUAUGAGCAGUUGGGUAGAUGGAGACGCCAUUUACCAAAGUGGUGACCACCGAGAGAGAAACAAGUUAUGGAGGGAAGAGUAAGAGUUCUCUUUAGACUGUUGAGUUUGAGACAUCCAAACGGAGGUGGCACAUGGGAUGUCAGAUGAUAUGGAUCUGGAGCUCGGCAGAGUAAACUUACAUUAAGCUGUUAAUAGGGAUAUUUAAGCUGUGAAAACUGAUAGAUGACCCGGUAGUAAAUAUAUAUACAAUGAGAAGAGUUGAGGGCUUAAUAUGGAAACUGGAAGAACUCCAACUGUAGAGGCAAAGUAAUGGAGGAACAAAUGAGACCAAGGGGAGGCCAGAGAUGUACAAGACAACAAAAGAGUGUGGUGCCGUGGAGGCCAAUGUGAGGCUACUGUAGGUCAAAAAAGGUGCAGAUCAUUGGAUUGAGCAACACGGAGGUCACCAAAUACCUUACUGAUAGCUGUGCUGUUGGAAUGUUGAGCAUGCAAAACUAUGUUGAAAUAGGUUGAGAAAUUGGUACUGGCAAUACGUGGGAUUAAUUAUUCUAGAAGAUCUUUCUAUAUAAAGUACCUGGAAGUGCUGGCUGAACUAUAACAAUUCUCCUUUUAGAUGCACAGCUGAAUAUCCCCCCAAAGUAAAGUAAUCCCUAAGGGUGAAAAAACAAAACAAAAUAAGGACCUUGAAACGUUAGAAUCUUAGCUGAUUAUGAAGCUACAAUUGCCCCACAGGCUCUUGCCAGUCUUUAUAACCAAGAAAUUUAAGUUUAAUAGCUGUCCAAGAAAGAGACACAGAGCCUUGGGACCUUAGGAAGUAGAAAGUUGGGACUGAGACCCUCACAUAUAUUGGGAAACUGUAAAGGGUGACACAUUGAAUGAAAAGACAGAAUAGGAAGAAUCUGCUACCUGGUAAAAGGAGAUGACAAAGAGUUAUUAUCUCUCUUGACCUGGGCUCUGGGUGGGAAAAACUACUCAUUCCAAGAAUUGAAAAUCACCUUUCCUCUCAGGCGUUUGGGGUUCAAAAUUGCACUACUUAAGUGAUCUGGAUAAUCACUGGAUAAGAAAUUAAAUUACUGUGUACAUAAUUUGAUAGUGUACAAGGACAUCGGACAGAAACAAAGUAAAUCCUCUUUGGAAGGACAUCUACGCAGGCAUCCCAACCCUGGCCAGAGACGAGCUAACAAUCCAAAAUUACGAGACACUUGAAGUGAUGCUUCUUGAAAAGAGUCAGUAGAAAACAAACUGUAGAAUCAGGUUCUCAAGAACUUAGGAAUUGGAACCAUUAGAUAUAAAAUAUUGAGUAUUUUAAAAAUGUUUAAUGAAAUAAAAGGUAGAAAGAAAACAGGAAAGAACAGAAUGUCAUCCCAAAAGGCAAGGAAGGUUUGGAAAAGAACAAGAUAAUGCUUUUAGUAAUAAAAAUGCAAGUUUGUAAAUGGUUACUUCAACGAUGGCUUAAACAGCAGACUAAAUAUAACUGAAGAGAAUUAGAGGACGAGGUAGACCUGGCAUCACGCAGACAGAAACGUGGGUUGAGAGACACGGGGAACGGGAUGAGAAGGUCUGUCACAUGUCCACGUGAAGAGGAUCAAGAGAAUGGGGUGAGGACAUACUCCACAGACAUACCUGAGAGUCAUCCGGGAGCAUGGGAUGAAAAGCAGCAGUCUUCCGAUUCAGCAAUCACAGUGCUUCCUCUGUAAGAUAAACGAAAAGUUUACCCCUUGCUGCCUAGUGGUGAUACUGCAGGACACUUCAGAGAUUUUUACAGUUGCCGAGAAGAAAAGACAGGCGAGCAGCAGGCUCCCCACCCGGAACCGCAGAAACCAGAGGUCAGCCGAUGGGGCCUUCAGAGCUGGAGAGAACAGGACUGAGAACCCAGAGUUGCGGUCCUGGCUGCCCCACCACCCAGGCGCCGGGCCACGGAGGAUGCCACGGAGCUGCUUCCCACCAACGGACCCUGCCAUAGAGGGAUUCCAAAGGAUGGGCCAGAGGGCAAAGGCCACCUGAAGAUGCCACUGGAGAGGAAGGAGACCCGGGGUGUAGAGAAUGGCGAGCAGGGAGUUGGACGGGAUAAACGCCCAGGCCCGGAGACUGCAGCGGAGCCGCGCCAAGGGAACCCCAGCCCCAGCCGCCGGGGGAGCCUGGAGCCCCCCUCCACCCCGGCUGCGCCGCACAGUCAGCGAGACCAGCCUGGGCUCGGCCAUCGCCCCGCCGUCCGCUGCUCGGGGCCCCGAGGAGCCCGGCCAGGACGCCAUGCGCUGCUCCCUCUACGAGUCGCCCCACCUGCUGCUUCUGCAGGGCUACAGCCAGCAGCACGACAGCCUGGUCUACGUGCUCAACCGGGAGCGGCACACGGUGGGCCAGAGGACCCCCUCCAGCAAGCCCAGCAUCAACCUCUCGGCCCCCGACAUCCUGCCCCUGCACUGCACCAUCCGCAGGCGCCGGCCGUUGGGCCGGGCUCAGGCGGGGGCACAGCUGGUCCUGGAGCCCAUCCCCGGGGCGUCCGUCUCGGUCAACUUCUCGGAGGUGGGGGGCCGCGCCGUGGUGCUGCGCCACGGGGACCUGCUCUCCCUGGGCCUGUACUACCUGCUGCUGCUGAAGGACCCAGCGCAGGCCCAGCCCCUGCCCGCCCAGGCCCUGGCCCGCCUCCGGGCCGUGCCGGAGAGCUGUAGGAUGUGCGGUGCCCCGCUCCGGGCCCGGGGCGCCUCGGUCUCCGCGAGGCCCGGACCCCCCCGGGCGCGGCCGCUGCACCUGGAGUUCGAGCCUGACAUGGAGGACGCGCUGCUACAGCGGAUCAUGACGCUGGUCGAGCCGGGCGGCAACGACCACAAGCUGACCCCCGCCUUCCUCCUCUGCCUCUGCAUUCAGCACUCGGCCACCCGCCUCGAGCCGGGCUCCUUCGGGCAGCUCCUGCUCAAGAUGGCCAAGAUGAUCCGAGAGACGGUCUGGGAGAAAACCAAAGAACUCGCCGAGAAGCAGGCGCACCUCCAGGAGCCCCUCUCCCCGGCUAGCUUCACCAUGGCGGGCCUGGUUCCGGACCUGCAGCACAUCCUCUUCUGGAUGUCCAACUCGGUUGAGCUUCUGUACUUUAUCCAGCAGAAGUGCCCACUCUACAUGCAGAGCCUGGAGGAGGACCUGGACGUCACAGGCUCGAAGGAGUCCCUGUUCUCCUGCACCCUCACGGCCAGUGAAGAGGCCAUGGCAGUGCUGGAGGAGGUCAUCCUGUACGCCUUCCAGCAGUGCGUGUACUACGUCUCCAAGUCCCUGUACGUGUGCCUCCCGGCCCUGCUGGAGUGCCCCCCCUUCCAGCUGGAGUGCCGCGAGAGCUGGUGCUCGGCGCCUCAGCUGCCCGAGGAGCUGCACCGCGUCGUGUCCAUCUACCAGGCCACCCUGGACCUCCUGCGGCCGCUGCAGGUGCACCCCGAGAUCGCCGCCCAGGUGCUGGCCUACCUCUUCUUCUUCUCCGGCACUCUGCUCUUCAACCAGCUCCUGGACAAGGGGCCCUCUCUGAGUUGCUUCCACUGGCCCAGAGGCGUCCAGGCCUGUGCCCGCCUGCAGCAGCUCCUGGAGUGGACACGGAAUGCCGGCUUUGGCGAGGCUGGAGAGCGCUUCUUCCGGAAGCUUUCCUGCACACUCAGCCUGCUGGCCACGCCCAGUGCCCAGCUCGUGCAGAUGAGCUGGGCGAACCUGCGGGCCGCGUUCCCUGCCCUGAGCCCCGCGCAGCUGCACCGCCUGCUGACCCAGUACCAGCUGGCCUCGGCCAUGGGCCCCAUGAGCGCCUGGGAGCCGGGUGCCCAGGACAGCCCCGCAGCCUUCAAGUCAGAGGAGGUCCUGGAGUCCUAUGAAAACCCCCCACCCAUCGUUUUGCCGAGCGAGGGCUUCCAGGUGGAUCUGGAGGCCGACUGCCUGGACGACAGCCUCCACCAGCACCUCCUCUACAUCCGCCACUUCCUGUGGAGCCUGCAGAGCAAGCCCAGCCCCGGCGGCAGGCCCGCGCGGCCAGAGUGUCUCCAGGGCCCGCAACACACCAGCCCCGAGGGCCACCCUGAGGACCAGAGCCGCCCCCUGGCUUCCAGGGACCCCGGCAGGGGAGCCCGUGAGGCCGGCUUGGAGCGCACUCCUCCUUCCGCGGGGGACCCCCAGGCACAGGGCCCUCUGGGAAGGCCACCAGGCCGCGUGAGCCGCGGGGGGGCCCAGGCCGGGGACCCACACGGGGACCCCUCAUGCCUGCUCACGCCUCCCGGCACCCCGCUCAGCCUGGAGCCCGCUGUCCCCGACUGGCCAGAAGCCAGCAGUGCCUGUGGGGAAGUGCUUCUGGAAGGGAGGAGGAACGGGCCGAGUGGCCCGGGGUGCGCAGCCCCGCAAGGAGACUGUGCAGCCCCGGCGGCCGAGCCCCCUCCAGCCUCCUCCAGCCACAGCUCCAGCACGGACGACUUCUGCUACAUGUUCGUGGUGGAGCUAGAGCGAGGCCCCUCUGGGCUGGGCAUGGGCCUGAUCGAUGGGAUGCACACACCCCUGGGCGCCCCAGGGCUCUACAUCCAGACCCUGCUCCCGGGGAGCCCCGCAGCGUCCGACGGGCGGCUGUCGCUGGGAGACCGCAUCCUGGAGGUGAACGGCAGCAGCCUGGUGGGCGUCAGCUAUCUGAGAGCCGUGGAUCUGAUCCGACACGGGGGAAAGAAGGUGCGGUUUCUGGUUGCCAAGUCAGACGUGGAAACGGCCAAGAAGAUCCGCUUCCGCACGCCCCCUCCCUAGGCGCCGUGCAGGGGCGGCCCGAGCACCUACACCUGCGGCUCCCAGGUUACGGCCCCUUCUGCCAGACUGUUCGGUGUGGCUGUGUCGCCCACAGGACGCUAGCCGCAGUCCCUAGUGUACAUUUUAUUUUAUUGAUAUGACAGAUAACACUAAGUUGUGAUGUUUGUCACAGAGCCUUCGUGUUUGAAGAUUUGAGUGUUAUAGAUUCAAUAAACUAUCUUUCGUAUUGUAGAGGGUGGCGGGGCGUGGAGUCUGGGUGGGCACCGUGCUGGCCCCCUAGAAGGGUUGCUGGACGUGGGGCGGUGCCCUUCGAAGAACUGCUCCCUCCCUGCCAGCGCGGGAGAGUCCCCGGGGGGGACACGGGGCUCGCUGGGGUGCCGGGAUGGCUCUAACUCGCUCCUCGCCUGCCCUCCACUCUGCCCGCAAACAAGGAGCAGCGGGGGAGAUGCAGACAGCCCCCGGCCGCCGAGGGAAAGGGCCAGAGCCGCCCCCAUCAGAGGGGGCUGCACCCUCGGUGAUACCACACUCAGCACGUCCCAAAGAAGGGGUCUGGACCCCCCAGAAGGUUGUAAAGUGAGAGUCUUGACCCACUGGGUAUCCAGGCUUCCUCCCUCAGACUCACACCCCUCCUGAUGUCCUCUCUGGUCGCUAAAGCCAUGGCUGGGCCCUAAUACCAGGCUGGCCGGUCCCAGGCUCUCAGUCUGCGGCCCGGCUGGUGUCCACCUGGUGGCCUUUGCUUCACCCUGGUGGGGGGGCCCGCCUCCUGCACCGGCCGCUGACCCUGUGCAGGGCCGUGUUGGUGUCACAGUGGCAGCAGGCAGGGCACCUCCCGGCUGGGUGUCUUCGGCAGGUUCGGCAGUGUGCGCCUCCCUGGGCUCUGGGCUGGGGUCCUCCUCUUCGACAGGAACAGAGACUCUGGGGACGAGAGGGUCCCGGCCAGGCAGCUGCAGACACACCCCUUACGUGGAAAGGGGUCUCGUGGAGGGGCCAGCGGCCGGAAGACGAGGAAAGUGGAACACAAUGGGACUAUCAUUUUCUACAUCAGUCGGCCAGCGCUGUAAGUGCUGUGAGGACAACCCGACAGAACCCAACCUCUGGAAGCAGCCACCCUGGUCCGCCCUCGGCGCGGUUGCAGUGGGCGCCCGGCCCAGGUGAGUGCGCCCUGCUCGCGCGCCAUCCUCCGGGCCGCAGCCCAGCCCGUGUCCUCACGGCCUCCGAGGCCCCCGGCGGCUCUGCCGCUGCGGCUGACACGCCUGGGACAGCCCAGCCCCGCCGGAUUUGCACUCGCGUCGCUGGACUGGACUCCCAGCCACCACAGAAGUCUACCCUGCAAAGACAAUGGUAAGGGAACGUUUCUAGAGCGGCCUUGGCUCCGUGUGAAGCAGGGAAAAAAGUCCCCUCAAAAUCCGUAUUCUCAAACUGGUUCGUAGGCACGUUUGAGACCCAAACUUGAAACGUCUGAACGAACGUGAAAAAACUGAAGCUAAGCAUUAAUUGGCAUCUUGGCAAAUUGAAAAAAAGCAUUUUCUCUAGGUGUCACAUCCUCAACCCUGGCCUCCCUGGACCCAAGUCCGGAGGGCCAGGCAGGGCCGGGUGGGCCGGGUCGGGCCGGGCCGGGCAGCCCGAGCGGGUGGGCGAAGGGUGUCGCUGGGGCUCGCAGGGCUGGGUUGGUCCCAUCCUGGGAGGGUCAGGUGUUCUUUGGCACGCCCCGCACCAGUGCCCCACGGCUCUGCUCCGCGCACCACCUGUUGCUUCUCGGAAAGCAUCCUGGGGCCGGGACGCCAGCCAGAGGCGUCCGUCCCUGCGGCACCCGCCCGGCCCCCAUCAGCUUCCUCGGCGGCGGGUGUUUCUUAGGGCGUCUGGGAGGCAAAACCGGCCGGGGGCGGAGGCAGGAGCUGGCCGGAGCCUGGGGGCGUGGCGGAGCCCGUGAGGGGCAGGGCCGGAACCUGGGGGCGUGGCCAGGAGUAGGCCUGGAUGUUGGGCGCGGCGGAGCGGGUGGGCUGGGACUUUCGAAGCAGCAGCACCACCUGGUGGCCGAGCCCCGCCAGGUGCCCGGGGAGCUGGGGCGCAGCCUUGGGGGUUGGUUUACAAGCGGGGCAGGGCCUGACUUGAACGGAACAGUGGUAGAAAGCGCUUGAGAGGACGGGGUGUCUCCCCCAAGUGGUGUAAGAGCAAAGCGCACCCGGACUUGCUCCCAGUAAGGCUUCUGGCGGCAGGUAGGGUGGUCACUGGGAACACUUUGGUGGGUGCCCUGCCCUUACCCCUGCUCGUAGAAGGCUGCACGUCUGCAAAGGUGACUGACAGCACCUCCAGCCCACCCAGCAGGAGCCCCAGAGCCCCAGCCUUAUCGUCUUCAACUUAGGAGCAGGAGAAUAUCUAAAAUAAUGUCACUGACCAAACCCAUUUCCCCCGUGGCAGCUGCCACCUCGGGGAGGUCGACACUGCUUCUUCCUUUCUGACUGACCGCAUGUGUCUGUUAGUGAUCUGUGGUUUCUGUACCAUCUGGGACAUGGGCUGAAUGGGGCUCGGCCCUGACACAUGGGGAUCAGGUGAAGGCCCCCCCCCCAGCCCCACGGCCGGCUCUCCCAGCCCAGCAGCACUGUGUCCCCUGGGCUCUGUAGCAGCCGCG
Delphinapterus leucas (beluga whale) is the source of this 7730-nucleotide non-coding RNA. The record is from RefSeq and is a predicted model, not a curated record. NCBI's taxonomy places the organism in Eukaryota, Metazoa, Chordata, Mammalia, Artiodactyla, Monodontidae.